Long non-coding RNA from Mycetomoellerius zeteki, 92 nucleotides. RefSeq lists it as uncharacterized. The record is from RefSeq and is a predicted model, not a curated record. The transcript has 3 exons. NCBI's taxonomy places the organism in Eukaryota, Metazoa, Arthropoda, Insecta, Hymenoptera, Formicidae.
GCAUUGCGAUGUUGCUGCAAUAUAACUGCAAUAUUGUUGGAAUAAUCUAUGCUGUAUAUGGAUAUCAUAAUCCCUACUAUAAAAGUCCAUAA